RNAcentral lists this ribosomal RNA (253 nucleotides) under uncultured bacterium. RNAcentral describes it as "partial 16S ribosomal RNA". It matches the Rfam family "Bacterial small subunit ribosomal RNA", at positions 524 to 776 of the family's 1533-position model. The record is from RNAcentral.
UACGUAGGGUGCGAGCGUUGUCCGGAAUUAUUGGGCGUAAAGAGCUCGUAGGCGGUUUGUCGCGUCUGCCGUGAAAGUCCGGGGCUCAACUCCGGAUCUGCGGUGGGUACGGGCAGACUAGAGUGAUGUAGGGGAGACUGGAAUUCCUGGUGUAGCGGUGAAAUGCGCAGAUAUCAGGAGGAACACCGAUGGCGAAGGCAGGUCUCUGGGCCGUAACUGACGCUGAGGAGCGAAAGCAUGGGGAGCGAACAGG